Molecule: long non-coding RNA, 835 nt
Filed under: Mytilus galloprovincialis (Mediterranean mussel)
Lineage: Eukaryota; Metazoa; Mollusca; Bivalvia; Mytilida; Mytilidae
Source: RNAcentral
UUACAGACAAACGUUCACGUAAAUUGUCCCAGUCAAUGGAUGAAUUUAAUGUGUCAAUCAAUGGCCACAGCCACACUGUUUUGAAUUUCAUUCUAUUGCCCCGUACAUGUGACAAGCCACACUAAAAUUGAUUUGACUUGUUUUAACUUUAAAAUAGUUGCACCAUAUAAGGCAGUUACUAAAAUAUACGAAAUAAAAGACAAUUUGUCAGGUCUUCCAGUUACCAACUUGAAGCAAUAAUAUAUAAUUCGUAACUUGAUUGGAAUAUCUAAUGGAUAUGUUCCCAAUUAACCUUGGAUUAUAAAAUCAGAGGGUAGACUUUUUUACUCCAAGUUAUAUUUGACAAAAUUUAAUAUGAACCCUCUCGAUUAUCGAUUAGGCCAAAUAAAAAUAUAUGUGUGGUUCCAGUUACCCUACCUUCCCUACUUUUUCGGCUUAAAAAUAGCCUACCCUAAAGAUUUUAUUGUCAUUUUUCAUUAAGCACGGUUAAAGUCAGAGUGUUGCUCCCAUAGACUCAAUGUAAAAAAAAACAUAAAAUAAAAAAAAAAAUCCCUACCUACUUACCCUAACUUUUUUUCAGAUGUAACAGGAACCACACAUACUAUUUUAUUUGGCCUUAUCGAAUUAUUUCCAAAACCCCAAACUUCACAUCCAUACAAAUUGCACCAAUAAAAAGACUUAAGAGAGACUUUCAAGACACAAUAUAGUCAGACAGACAGAAUAUUUCAUAACAGUUUUGCAUACCAAUAAAUCAAUAUCAUACAUCAUAAGUAUAAUAAAAAUAAACAUAUUUUGAUCUUUUAAGUUAAAAUAAUUGACGUGUGAGACACUUUCA